Molecule: ribosomal RNA, 216 nt
Filed under: uncultured bacterium
Lineage: Bacteria
Description: partial 16S ribosomal RNA
Rfam family: Bacterial small subunit ribosomal RNA
Source: RNAcentral
GCAAGUCGAACGCUAUUUAUAGAGUGGCGCACGGGUGAGUAACGCGUGGGAACCUGCCUUUUUCUGCGGGAUAACGGUUGGAAACGACCGCUAAUACCGCAUACGCCCUACGGGGGAAAGGUCCGCCGGAAAAAGAGGGGCCCGCGUCUGAUUAGCUUGUUGGUGGGGUAAUGGCCUACCAAGGCGACGAUCAGUAGCUGGUUUGAGAGAACGACC